Molecule: long non-coding RNA, 3005 nt
Filed under: Homo sapiens (human)
Lineage: Eukaryota; Metazoa; Chordata; Mammalia; Primates; Hominidae
Description: HSALNT0332022
Source: RNAcentral
ACUCAAACUGGGAUUCUGGUCAUGGCCAGGUGACUGCCAUGAGGACAGAGGCAUCUGGCGUUAGUUCCUGGAUGAAGGCUGUACAGGAAGCAUGGUGCCAGCAUCUGCUUCUGCUAAGGGGUUCAGGCUGCUUCCGCUCAUGGCAGAAGGCGCAGGGGAGCCGGCGAGUCACAUGGUGAGAGAGGAAGCAAGAGAGAGAGGAGGAGAUGCCAGGCUCUUUUUAACAAUCAGUUCUCAUGGGAACUCAGAAGAGCAAGAACUCAUUCAUUACUGCAAGGAUGACUCCAAGCCAUUCAUGAGGGACCAGAUUCCAUAACCCAAACACCGCCCACCAGGCCCCAUCUCCCACACUGGGGAUCACAUUUCAACAUGAGACUUGGAUGGGACAAACAUCCAAACUGUAUCAGACAUCAUCUCACGAAUCCACAAAUUUAGCUGCUUUCCCUUCUUUUCUGUAGUUUCACAACCUACUAUAGAAGCACUUUCUAGAGGGGCCUGCAGAAGUGAAUUUCCUCUUCCAUGGCCUCGAUGUAUUUGGCUGUUGAUUCAGUAUCACUGAACUUACUGCCAACAGCACUACAACUCACGCUGAAGGCACCUCAUCCAGCACAGGUAUUGUCUCCACAGGCACAUCGCAGCCUCCUGCACUCAGAGACAGUAGACAGCACUUCAGCACCGUGCCUGGGGACAUUUUAAACAGCAAAAUCACCAACAAAAGUACAAAAAUGCAAAAGCAUGGCUCUGGAUAGACAGCAGGAAGGACCACUUGUUUCUAGUGUGAGAGCUGGGACAAGAAAGCAGAGGGGUCACCUUGCUUCACCUCAGCCGGGAACAGAUGCCUUGGACUACUCAGAUUUUUUCCCUGCUCUGUACAAGUCUGUGAAUCACUGUGAAGCCACAAGUAUUGAUUUGGUUUACAAACACAUUUUAGUGAAGAGGUGAAUUUGCAGGUAUGGAAUCUAGAAAUAAUGAGAUCGGACUGUAAGGCUGGAGACGAAGAUGGAGAGGCUGCUGCCAAGUGACAGGCUGGCUCUUGUCCCAGAAGCUGUGGACUGCCACUGGAGUGUUUCAAGCAAGGGAGUGGCUUGAUCUGUGUUGUAGGAACAGCACCUUUUCUCAACUUAAAAGUGUGGCUUGAAGAGAGGAAGACGGGAGACUGGUUAGGAGAUGGAUGUAUCCAGGUGAGGAUGAGGGUGGGUGAACGGAGCCAGGGAUAGAGGUCCUCAGGGGAGCUGACCUGAGACCCCUGUGAGUCUCGGGUCCUGGCAAUGGGGCGGCGGUGAGUGGUGAGGGGGAGGCAUUGAGGACAGCGCCCGGGGUCCCCGGCUGGGGCACAUGCUGGGGUGUAGGGCAGUGGUCAAGGGCCCUAGCCUUGCAGUCAGACACCCCUGGCGGGCUGUGUGGCUUAGACAUGCUCCUCCACUUCCCUAAGCCUAGUUGUUUCAUGUCUAGCAUAAAGAUUCCGUGUGGCAGGAAGAACACACCCCCGGGAGUGAUUCUGAGAUUGAAAUGAGUGCUGGUGCUUUUCACCUAAACAAGGAAAACGGGGAGAGAAGCAGUAUGUGGGGUGGGAGGGAGAAGAGUCUGUCUGGGCGUGGGGAUUUGGACGUGCCUCUGGACACCCAUGGACAAAUAUCCUGAGGCCAUCUGAUGUUUUCCGGGGGCCACGGGAGUGGGGGAGGGGAAGGUGGGGCGGAGACACAGACUUGGGCAUUACCAGCAGGCAGGGGGCUGCUACCGCCAUGAAGAGUGGGCAGUGCCAGGAUCAGAGGGCCGGGGUAAAGCCUGCGGAAUUCCCACAUUUCAGAAGAGGCUGGGAAGGAGGUCAAGGAAGAGCAGCAGGAGGAGGAGAAAGCAGGAGGGUGUGGAGGGACGGGAGGCGGGGAGGAGGAAUUCCAGGAGGGAGUGGCCGGGGUGACUGUUCUGAAAGCAUGGACUGGAAGCCACAGCACAUUUGGGCUGCAAGGAACCCGAGAGAUCUUCUAGUCUAAUCCUCUUUCAGUCUCCAUCCCCGUCCGGAUGAAGACAGCGAGAUCCAAAAGUAAAGUCAGUUGUACUGUGACUUCCUAGCAGGAUACCCUAACUCCUAAUUCAUAAUAAAACUACAGACAUUCUCAAUUCAAAAUUCUUCCUAUUCAGUCACACUGGACUUUCUCCCAAUGUGACAAAAUUAUUGAGAUUUUAUUGACUUACUGAACAACUGUGGUCUUUGCCAUGUACUAAGAUACUGUGUAGUCAAACUGCGCCUCUGAAAUCUAUUUUUAUUGUACAUUUAACAAAUUUUGCUGUAAACAAUAAGUUUAAAAACAAUAGUCAUAACUCAUUAAACUGUAUCUUUUAAUUUUAAUAUGUUAUUAUACCUCAAUGAAACUCAGUUUUAAAAAACAGUGAAUAAAAAGUUGAGCUAUUAAAACUAAAAAGUAAUUAUUUGCUAGUUUGUAUACACAGACCCAAGAAAUAGAAAUAUAGGAAUAUUUGGAACUUGCUCCUUCUUACAGCCUUGAGGGAACCGCUUAUCCCUUAUUACGCCUUGGUUUCCCUCAAUGAAACUAGAAAAUAUUACCUUGCAAGACGCUCAUAGUUAAUUAAUACGUAUGAAGCUCUUGAAUCUAAAUAUUAAAUACUUGAUGAUAUUGUCUGGUAAAUAUUAUCUAACUGCAUUUAUAAAUACUAGCAUUUUUACAGCCUAGUGGUAAUUACAAAGUAUAGCCCAUUUAAAAUGAAUACAAAUAUGUGCAUAUAUAUUUUUCCUGUGAAAGUAGGAAAAGAAAGUUGAAAUUAUGCAAGAACAAAGUAGAAAAAUAUGCCUCUCAUAUAAGAUUGAGUGUUUCCAUUGAUCAAUAUAAUUUUUAAAAUGUUGUGAUGAUUCUUUUUUUCACUUAAUUGGCUAUGUCAUUUGCACUCUACCUAAGUGAGAUAUUAAUAAAUUGUAUAUGAUGUAAAUAACAGGAAACAAGAAGAACUGCUGGCCUUAUUCAUAGUUAAUAAAGAGAACCAGAUGAUGA